Molecule: long non-coding RNA, 9579 nt
Organism: Pongo pygmaeus (Bornean orangutan)
Lineage: Eukaryota; Metazoa; Chordata; Mammalia; Primates; Hominidae
Exons: 2
Source: RefSeq, a predicted model, not a curated record
GGGAGGAGGAAAUAAAUAAAUAAAACAAUAACCUCCGCGCCAAUAAGAGCGAGGGAGAGAGCAAGACGCGACCAGAGAGCCACCGGGGCCGGCUCGCGCGCCUCUGAGAGGCUGUCCGCGCGCGCGCGUGUGCGUGAGUGUGGAUUUGCCUGGACGGGAGCUGGAAAGUCCAAACUAAACGUGUUGCUCUCGCCGGGUGCCGAGGCCGCGGCGGAGGCUGCCCAACUUCCCCCGGCCAAGUGAGUGGCGUUGCCAGCGCCUUUGGCGAGGCGGCGGCCGCUCGGCCCUGCGCCCGGGCACUGCGGCGGCGGCUCCGCUCGCCCCGGGAGGGAGCCCGCGGCCAGGGCUGGACUCUCGCCCCGCCACCUCCACCGACUCUCUCCUCAGCCUCCACGCCUGGCACCCCAGCAAGGUCUUACCUUCCGGGGGUGUCCUUCAUUAUGAUGUUCCCUGUGAUGCUGGUAAUGGUUUUCCUUGCUCCUUCUGCACGGAAGGACGUACAAGUUUGCAGGAGAAGGUACAUGAAAAGCAGGUGAAGUUUGCAGCCACUUGACUCCAAGAGAGGAGUAACCCUUUCUUUGCAGUAGUAGCUAUGGUUUUGAAGCAGCGGCGGUGACGGCAGCGGUGACAGCGGCCUGGCCGGUGGCGGCAGCUGCACGUUGUCCCCUCUGUGUCUGGGAGAAGGAGAAAAAGUGGGGCUGCCUCGUCGGAGAGCGCAACUCGGGAGCUGCCUGCAAAGACGCUGUGGGGGAAAAUGCUAAGGGCUCCCAGAUCCUUGGUAAAUCGUGUUUGGAGAGGCAUGAUUUCCUUUUGUGAUAUUUAUGUGCUUAAUAACAGACACGCUUAAAAAUCUCUUUAAAACUUUUAUGCAUACGAUGUCCAUUUCUAGAUUAGGUGAACGACUCUGAAACCUCUUAGAUAAAUGCCAAAAUCAGUAAGAUCUGAGCGGUGUGCAAACCUGCAAUGAAUUGCCCAGUGCCUUCUUGUUUGUAAUGUAUCACCUACUGGGAAACGUAUCUUCCGUGCCAUACUAUUUUAGUAAUAGUUAUAGGUUCAUUAUUUUUUUUUUUGUCUUACGGUGAAGUAGGAAGUUUUUAGUGAAACGAAAAUUUAGAAGUCAUAGUAAGUUUCCAAGCAACGUGCUUGAGCCUUUUGAAGCCACCUGCUGAAUUAGUUCAUGUUACUUUUCAGAGGUUACCACUUUGGUGCAGGAGAUGUAGACAUAUCCAGCAGUGGAACCUGCAUAACACUCAUUUAUCCCAAUGUAAUCACAAAGAGGCCAAAUAAAUGUGUAUGGAGCUCACUUUAGGGGAGACACUGGUUUUACUGUCAUAUUUGGAAAAAAUUUUGUGUCUACUGAAAUAUGAUUGGAAUAUAUCUGUAGAAACUUCAAUUCUUUAGGCUUCUUUUUCAUUCAUAAAGCAUUUGAAAAUAGUUUUUGUGCAUAUUAGAGUAUAGGAUGAUUCAUUCAUGUCAGAAAUGUCAACUGGUCCUUUGGUUAUAUAUUGUGGUGACUCACAACACCGUGAAAAACAAUGCCUUCUGCCAUAAUAAAAGUCUAAUUAUUGCGUUAUAGCUUAAAAGUAUAAAAACUUGCAUUUGAAAGUAAGCAAACAUCAUUUUGAAUACUUUUUAGCAUUCUAAAUGCAACUGAAUUUGUGUUUUGCAAAGUUAAGAUAGCUAAAUACACUUAUUUCUUCAAAUAAUUUACUGCAGCUUAAAUUGAAGGAAAAAGUUAAUAAAACAUUUUAGUCAUUCUUGUGAAUUGAUGUUCCUUCUUCCCCAAAAUUUCAUGAAAUUUAGAUCUGGUGUGAUCUGGUCACAUUCAUUUUACCUUCAGAGACAAAGAUGAAAUUCUUCAAAAGCCACUUAAAAAAAUCCUUACAUUGAUAUAUUAUGCUAACAAUAACAUCAGGAGAGAAUCUGCCUUCCUACAAAAAUUUUAAAACUUUGCAAUCAGUCAUGCAUCUGAAAAAAUCGCUUUAAAGUGAACAGAGACAAAUGGGCUGCCCAUUUCACAGGCAGAACGGCAAAGACUUAGGCACCUGCUUUGUUGCACCGUUUCAGGAAAGAACUGGUUGUUCACUCUAAUCUGCUCAUCUCCCAUCUCUUGCUCCUUUCAUUGUGUUUUGUCAUAGAUUUUACCGUGGCAGAGAACUGAGCUUAACUACUCUGAAAAAAAUCCUAUUAGGUCUUACUUUAAUGUCAUUAUUUAGCAAUUUAAAAGUUACAGCCAUACAGCAAACAUUUUAAUGAAUUUAGAGACAGACACGAUGCCAUUGAAAAAUGUAGCACUGGCAAUCAUUUGAAUUAAACAUGCUUUACACUGAGGGCACAUGUUUAUAAAAUAUAUGUGACUGUUUUCUAAAUCUUCAGAUAACGUCUGUAGCAAAGUAUUUACUUAUGCAUUCUGAAAGUAUAUUUCUUUCACAUUCGCAUAAUAUCCAAGAAGGCUUGGAACUCCCAGUGUUAUAAAAUAGUAUAACUACCUUUCUGAAAGAACCACUUUUAUCCCGCCUGUUGCCACACAGAUUAAAUGAUUAUAGAUUUUUCUAAAUUUAUUCCAUCCUAAAUUUAUGCCCCUUUACACAGGCAAGAACAAACGGGUUUCAGUGUAAGAUGCUGAAAGUUUUAUGCCAUAUUUAAAUGUUUAAAAAUAUGAGUACCAGACAUUUACUAAUGUAUCAUCUCUAUUAAAUGUGUUAAAUUCCUCCAAUACAACUCUUAUUGAUAGUUUACAAAUCAGCUGGUCAAAGCAAUGUUAAUGUAGUAAAAUAGGUUAAACGUAAGUAUAUUAUGGUCAUUGCUCAUGUGAUAUAUAUCUUCAGAGAAAACCGGGUGCCUUGUAAGUUUUUCUGUAAACUCAAUAUAAAUGAAAUGCUGAUAAGAUUGACAUAAUUUUGAUAUAACUUUGACAUAUAUAUUUCUACAUAUUUUGAGACUUUAAAAAUAUAAUCACUAAAUACUCUUUGUACAGUACUGAGCGUUUUCAGUUAAGUUUAUUGGACUGAUACAAUCCUGUAAUAUGCUACUGAAGUUGAGUUCAAGUUUGUGGAGGGAAAUAUUGGAUACAUACAUACAUACAUACAUACAUACAUAUAUACAUACACACAUGGGUCAUCAGUUUUCACUGGGAAUCUUGGUAAUGGGAGUGGCAAUGUGCCUAUUGAAGAAUUUUGGAAAAUAGUCUAAUCAUCAACUUUAAAUUCUCAUUUUAAAAACGUGAUCAAAAAUAGAUAUCUGUUAAGUAGAGGAUCUGUAUUUAACCUAAGCCUCAUGGUAAUAGUUGAAGCUUGGCAUUCACCAAGUGUUUGCACUUGUUAUUACAGUAAUUUUAAUGCACUUUCUGCAUUAUUUGUAUUUUCAUUCCAUCUCCUUAGGACAUUGUUCUAAUAGAGCUAUAAUAUAGCUCUAUUAGGUAGUUUUCUUCCAGCACCAUAAAAUGUAGCCACUGAGUUUAGACUUAAAUAUAAAACCGCAAUUACAUUUGCACCAACCUAAUAUUUCAACUGAAUUAAGUUUUUGAAACUCAUAUAGAGGGAUUGAGAGAUUAUGAAGAAACAGAGAUUUCGGUUUUUUCUCCAUUAAGUUAUCUUCUGGGAGUUAACAUGGGUUUAUCAGUCAGUGACGAUCAAGCAAAAGAUGAAACCUUUUAUUCUUUAGUUUCUGUCUUGUCACCUGCCUGUUUGGUUUCUCUUAGUGUCAAGUAUGACUGAGCAUGACUUUCACUUAUAAUUUAUAGAAGAGGCAUAUAUGUUUGAAACUUGGGUGUUUUAUUGGGAGGCACCAUUAGUUUUUAAUAAGAAGAAAAAGUUUUUAGCACUAUAUAUAAGGAAAAAAUCAUAAUAUAAAAAAAUUAUUCUAGAUGAGUACAGCAGUGAAAAAUGUAUCUUGGGAUAUAAAUUUUAGCAGAAAUGAUGAGGAUGCAAGAUUUAUCCCAAAUCAUAUUUCCAACUUUGAGUAUUACUGUAAUUUAAUUUUUAUAUAUUAAUGCUGUAUUGGGUACAAACACCUUUACCUUUAACUCUCUUUAAUUACCACUUCUUUGUAUAAAAGUCUACCAAGAAUAUAGCUUAAUUAUAUAUGUAUAAUAUGAUUGUUUUCUGGCAUAUGUUAUAUGAUAUAUAUCUCAUAAAACAUAUUUUUAACAUGAGUACAGUUUUGCUCAUACAAUAUUCAGGGAUAGAUUUUAUCACUGAUUAUCCCAAAUUUUUUUUGAAGCCCCAGAGUCCUCAGAUAAUUUUCUAUAUGUUACUGUAUAGGACAGUUCUGCCAUAUAGCUUUAGAGAUAUUUAGUCAUAGAAAUAUAAUUGGGUAAGCUGCCCUACUAUUCACGUAAUUACCAUGAAACUUGUGAUAACUUCUAAAUACAAUAUGUUAUAUAAACUGUUUAUAUUGUUACCAAGGGAUUAAAACCAUGGGACAAGACAAACAUAGUCAUUCUUUAUAGUGGUCAAAAACUAUCUUUCAUGCUUUAAAGGACUUAUAUUUAGAACUUAUUAUGGAAAAAGGUGGAUGGAUCAAAAGUGGAUAUCAAGUGUGUGAAAAAUUAUUUACCAGAAUCACACUUACUAAGUAUUAUAAUAAGCAUACCUUUCUAAUUAUUAUUUUCCAAAGGUAGGAGAUUGGAGAGGCAUAACUAAACGUACCUGAUAUUAUUAGAAUAAAACAGUUGUCUAACUAGCAUUUUCAUUCUGAUAGGAAUAUGUUUCAUGAUUUUGAUUAUUUCACAGCACCCUUAACAAAUAGAAUUAUACUGUGUUUUCCAAUAUGAAUAUCUUAAAGGUUUUGAAAUAUAUGAUUGAUUAUGAUUAUCAGAACUUUGUGCCUAAACUAAAGGCAGCUAGCAGAUAGAAUACUGUUGGCAAACUGAGAGGCUGAAUACUGGUGUUGCAAAAAGUUUAAAUUGAUGUUACUUCCUAUAUACCCCCAAAUCAGUAUUAUUACCACUUUGCUAGUACUUUUAUUAUGAAUAUAAAUUAUAUUAGAUUCUUAUUCAACUUUCCAUGCUUAAAUUACAGUAUGUUCAAGAACUUGCUUUAGUAAUAAAUAUUGAUAAUUAUUGUGUGACAGAGAACUUUACUGGUAACAUUAGAUUUAGGACGUUAUUAUGCAAAACAGACAAUAAAACAAUCUCUACUCUGGGUCUAUAGAAUUUACUAAAUUAGUGCCCAUGGGCAUGUGAGAACAAAAAGUGUCCAUAUGUCAGCUUCAACUAUAUGACAGAGGGAGAAAAGUGAGGAGACACCUUUCCAUGAAUGUCUUCCCUCCAGUUUAUACCACCAGUUUUCUAAAUAAACUUUAUUUUAACAUUUUUUAAACCCGGACACUUUCAAUGAGAACCAAUCACAGUCACAAAUAUCAGUGUAUUAAUGGACUGCAUCAGUACUUUAUAUUUUUUCAUCUUAUAGCUCAAUCUAUCAUUCAUUAAGCAGAAAGAUUUAUUCACAUUACCUUUUUAAAAAUACUUCAGCAGUUACAUAGACUGAUUUUUAAUAGUUGUCUAUUAAAAAUAAAAUAAAAAUAAUAAAAAUAAAAUAAAAAUAAUAUAAAAAUAAUAAAAUAAAAAGUAAGAAUAAGUUGCUGAUGCACUUUUUAGGAUUUAAUUUUGUUAUUUAGAAGAUAAAUAUUUAUAGGUUUAAGUUUUGAUUGUAUAUAAAAUUAACAGCAGCAAGAAUAAAUAAUCCCAUAUUUCAGCCAAAAUGUCAACUAGAAAUGAUAAAUUGGCUUUCUUGUGUAUAUGUGUGUGUGUGUGUUUUAAUUUUCUGUAUCAAUUAGUAUGUACUAUCAGUAGAAUAUAAUAUUCUGAGAAGAUAAUAGUAUCUUGUUGAACAUAGAUUUAAAGGUGAAGCAGUUAUUAUUGAAAAAUAAGCAUGCCAAUUUACUUUCCAUCUCUAAGCCUUUUUCUUAAAGUAUAUUUACCUAAAUUUAAACAGCAUCUAUAAUAUUGAUAAAAAUUUUUAAAACAUAAAUGUCAAAUUAAGUGCUCAAUAAAUAUUAGGAUCCAUCUAUCUUUGAUCUCUUCUUAUUAUCAAAUAAAAAUCAGUACACUGAUAUCUUUCUUUUAAUAACAAAUAGGUGCAAGAUAGUCUAAGAGGUUAACAACCAGAAAAUAUUUGUUUUGUGAUGGGAUGUUCAUAAUUUCUUUUUCUCAUUUUCUUACAGAUUUAUUUUAAUUUCAUAUAGCAUAUAACAAUUCCUUAUGCAAAAUAAAUGUUUUUUUGAUAAAAUUAAAUACACUAAAGUGUCUUCAGUUCUUAAGUGUGUUGCCUAUAGAUUUGAAUUUCAAAAGUAUUAAAUUUAUAUUUUGCAUGUGUCAUUAUUUUUAUUGUAGGUUUUUUCCCAAAUACAGGUCCUCUUGUGUUAUCAUUGUGAAGUUUUUUAUUCCUACUUUUCACAUUAAUACUUUUCCAUACAACUUAAUUAUUUUGCUUUUUAUAUUCAGAGCAGAGUUGACAAUAUUGCAGUUAUUGCCAACUUUAUUUUAUUUUGACUUAAAAUGUGUUAAACUCACAUAAAGUAUUAACACUCAUAAUAAAUAUUUUUCUAAAAUUAUUUGUGUGAGUCAAAUUUGUUAGUGAUUUCUUCAAAAUUUUACUUGUAACUGCGGGAUCAAAAUAAAAAAGGUUAAUUUUCAUAUAAUUAAAGGUCAGUGAUUUUUUUAAUGCUUACAAUUUGUUUACUUCAAGAAAUCUAAUAACAUUUUCAACAAAAUGGUGUUUAUUACUUGUGAACCUUAUGCUUUCUAAAAUUUUGCUUUUGAAACAUUCACAGUGAGGAAUUUGAACAAAGAAAGCAAAAAUUUAAUGGUUAUCAUACAUAUAUUAAAUUAAAUUUCAAGAAAUGAAAACUUUGUGAUAAUAACAAAUUAUAAAACAUAGAAAUCUCAGUAUUUGUUUUCAGAGAUUUUGAGGGAAAACUAACCUCAAAAUAGUAAAGUAUAAGAAAUGUUAACAGUCGUCUUAAGUGUUCAGGUCCUUAUUACGGAGUUUGGGAAAGUUUAUGUCCAAAUUGUUAUGCUAGUAAUAUUUACAUAGAAUGAUUUAUAAAUUUAUUUUUUAAGAAAGUCUUAUUUCAGCCACUAUUGUUUUAUACAAUAUUGGUAGUUCCAGUUUAGUCUAUUUUAAAAUGUAAACCUUAUAGCACUUAAAAAUUUUGUUGUUGAUAUAUUUAAAUAAAAGAGUGCACGUACCAACAGUACAAAUGAAACAAUUAUCAUAAUGAUGCUGCUUUUGAGAUAACAAAAACAGAGAGAAAUUUGAAGUUACAAGUACCUUUGAAACAGAAUUCACACUCGAAUCUGCUUUAGCAUGAAUUGCACAUGAAUAAAAUUAUCUGCUUAAUGUUCUCUUUAAUUUUUAAAUAUCAGAUAAUGUGAUUUGGGAAAAAUCUCGAUUAAAAAUAUUAUUGUAUGGUAAGAUUCUUUGCAUUUUCCUGUUUCUGGAGCUUGGUCAUUUUAUUUUAGUGAGUUACUAUUUCGAAUCAGUGUGUGAUUAGAAUUAAAUUGAAAAGGAUUUGCAACAGUUCCUAUUUGUGUGGAUCAGCUUUUCAUAACCCCAAAGAAAUUAUAGAAAAUUAAUUUUUAAAUUGUUUGAGAAGACCAACAACCAUAACAAUAAGGGACAGUGGUUUCGCUCAUUAUGUAAUAUCAUUUAUAAAAUUACAACUGACAUAUCAAUUCAAAAAUUAUUUCUGAUGUUCUAAAUAAGUAUAUAUUGACAGAUUUUUUUUGUAAAAUGUUUUCCAUUUUGUAAUGCAGAAGAGUUUAAAAUGUGAAUAAUAUGCAAAACAUUUUAGUAAAUAAUGUUUUUAUAUACAAUUAAGAAAAACAUACGCCUCUAGGCAAAAGAAUAAGCAAGUCACCUCAGAAAUCUCUUCAAAUUUCAAAAACUGGUCAAGAAAUAAUGGAUAAGAAGACCCCCAUGCGUACUAUGAGACCAAAUCUAUAGAUCUGUGAGAAAAAGAAUCUCUAUCAAAAAGGAUAGAAUAUAUUCCCAAGGCAGCAGCUCCAAUCAUACUGACAGUCUUAACAAUGUCUAUGAGAUAAAUGUUUCUAAUUGUGUAUGGAAAACAUGCAAACGGAACCAGAAUCUGAAGGGCAAUGUUUGGUAAUACUCACAUGGGUGCCCGCCGGGAAAGAAAGUAGUUGCUAGCUUUCUGAAUACUUGAUGCUGCAGGCCUGCAUGGUCUGAUGGCAUUAGGAGUGUAUCAUAUAAAUAGAAUAAUGUAUUCUAAUUCAUGCCACCAAGCCACCUUCAGAUAAUCUGUUUCCUCUUGCCCAUUUUCUUUAGUGAAGUAAGGUGUUCAGGGUGCUUCUGCAGGCAGCAGGCAAGAGCUCCAGGCUCCUAUUUGAUUUUGAUUACAAAUUAGUAAAUCGGCAUAAUAGGUUAUAUAUUUCAUUUCCUUGUGAAUGUUAGUGCGAGUCAUCAUCCUCAAAUUUAAUUAGAUCUGCAACACUGACACAUACUGUAAACCAAACCUGUAAGACCAAGGUCACCAAAAUAGUGCCAAACCUGAAACCUGUUCAUCAGCGACCUCUGAGAGAAUCCUUCAUGUCACUACUGAGAACGUUUAUUUUGAAGACUACAAAGACAAAACAUGGAGUACAGGAAUACUUACUCUUUUGGUUUAAUACUUUUUAUUAAAAUAACAUGAAAAUUAAAAAGAAAAUUAGUUGAGGGAACAAAAAAGGAAUAAAAAUUUGGGAUAAGUAACAUGGUCAGAAGAAAGAUGCUCAAAAAUAUUUGUAUUGUAGUAUUUAUUAGGGCUUUUAAUUAUUUGCCCCCACAGAACCAAUAUUCAAUAUUAAAACUAUAGUCUUUACAAUAUUUAUUAAAUGAAAUUUUAAAGAUCAAUUUAGAAGAGAAGUCACAUUUUACCAUUCAUUAUACAUUCACUCUGUGUAUCGUUUUACAGUUUGCUUUUCUGCUCUUCAUGAUUUUAAAAUUUUUUCUUUGUUCAUACAUUUAGAACUAGUUCAUUCAUUAUAACCAUUGUUCAGUAUUCCAUUAUAUGAUUAUGAUGAAAUCACAAUUUCAGCAUUUCUUUUCUGACUUCUGAAAUAGUUCUUAAGUGUAAUAAUGCAUUAAAAUACAAACUACAAAUGCAAAAUACAAUACAAAACAAUUCUAUAAGAUAAAUGUGAGUGAUAUUGUGGUAUAUUAUAUAUAUUUUUUAUGUAUGUCGAUUAUGCUAUAUUUAUCAUAACAUUUUGCAUAACAUUUUUUAAAAUUAAAAUUCUGAAGCCAUUAAACCUUUCACUACAACAUCAUUUUCAUAGUCACAUGUUAUUUCAUUCUAUGGAUCUAGCAAAAGUUAAAUUUAACAAUUUGUUAUGGUUGGAUAUUUCAGUUGUUUAAAUUGUGCACAUUAGAAAGAAAGCUAAAUGAACAAUUUUACUAUUGUUUGUAUCUUUGUUGACAUCCCAAAAUAUUUAUUUAGGAAAAAUUUUAAAAAGUUAAAUUACAUUAGUGUAUGCUUGGAUAUUUUUUAUUUUUAAUAUGAUUGAGAUAACAGCUUUCGUAAGCAUUUUCUUGAAUAAUUGGACCCUCCAUACUGUUGUGGUUCACUCUUGGGGAA